GCUGGGCAUGGUGGUGCACACCUGUAAUCCCAGUGGCUCUGGAGGCUGAGACAGGAGGAUCAUGAGUUCAAAGCCAGCCUCACCAAAAGCAAGGCACUAAACAACUCAGUGAGACCCUGUCUCUA
Molecule: small RNA, 125 nt
Filed under: Marmota monax (woodchuck)
Lineage: Eukaryota; Metazoa; Chordata; Mammalia; Rodentia; Sciuridae
Source: RNAcentral